ACUUGUUCUCUCUGUAUUGUGUG
This 23-nucleotide microRNA is filed under the name Tribolium castaneum (red flour beetle). Its description in RNAcentral is "tca-miR-3889-5p". Lineage: Eukaryota; Metazoa; Arthropoda; Insecta; Coleoptera; Tenebrionidae. The record is from miRBase by way of RNAcentral.